This 677-nucleotide ribosomal RNA is filed under the name Salmonella enterica. RNAcentral describes it as "partial 23S ribosomal RNA". It matches the Rfam family "Bacterial large subunit ribosomal RNA", at positions 2254 to 2925 of the family's 2925-position model. The record is from RNAcentral. Lineage: Bacteria; Pseudomonadati; Pseudomonadota; Gammaproteobacteria; Enterobacterales; Enterobacteriaceae. RNAcentral also lists the same sequence under 1 other name.
GUGUCUGGUGGGUAGUUUGACUGGGGCGGUCUCCUCCUAAAGAGUAACGGAGGAGCACGAAGGUUGGCUAAUCCUGGUCGGACAUCAGGAGGUUAGUGCAAUGGCAUAAGCCAGCUUGACUGCGAGCGUGACGGCGCGAGCAGGUGCGAAAGCAGGUCAUAGUGAUCCGGUGGUUCUGAAUGGAAGGGCCAUCGCUCAACGGAUAAAAGGUACUCCGGGGAUAACAGGCUGAUACCGCCCAAGAGUUCAUAUCGACGGCGGUGUUUGGCACCUCGAUGUCGGCUCAUCACAUCCUGGGGCUGAAGUAGGUCCCAAGGGUAUGGCUGUUCGCCAUUUAAAGUGGUACGCGAGCUGGGUUUAGAACGUCGUGAGACAGUUCGGUCCCUAUCUGCCGUGGGCGCUGGAGAACUGAGGGGGGCUGCUCCUAGUACGAGAGGACCGGAGUGGACGCAUCACUGGUGUUCGGGUUGUCAUGCCAAUGGCACUGCCCGGUAGCUAAAUGCGGAAGAGAUAAGUGCUGAAAGCAUCUAAGCACGAAACUUGCCCCGAGAUGAGUUCUCCCUGAGACUUAGAGUCUCCUGAAGGAACGUUGAAGACGACGACGUUGAUAGGCCGGGUGUGUAAGCGCAGCGAUGCGUUGAGCUAACCGGUACUAAUGAACCGUGAGGCUUAACCUU